UACGUAGGGGGCAAGCGUUAUCCGGAUUUACUGGGUGUAAAGGGAGCGUAGACGGCAGAUCAAGUCUGGAGUGAAAUCCCGGGGCUCAACCCCGGAGCUGCUCUGGAAACUGAGAAGCUAGAGUACUGGAGAGGCAGGCGGAAUUCCUAGUGUAGCGGUGAAAUGCGUAGAUAUUAGGAGGAACACCAGUGGCGAAGGCGGCCUGCUGGACAGCGACUGACGUUGAGGCUCGAAAGCGUGGGGAGCAAACAGG
Molecule: ribosomal RNA, 253 nt
Filed under: uncultured bacterium
Lineage: Bacteria
Description: partial 16S ribosomal RNA
Rfam family: Bacterial small subunit ribosomal RNA
Source: RNAcentral